GGGGUCAUCAGUAAGGCACUCAAUCACCUUAAUAUCCUGUGACACCCCUUAUAAGGCUGCUGUUAUGUUCUGGUGGUUGUCAGGAAUAAAUGUACAACAUUGCGUCUCUACAAGGGCACAGCUGCCACAUUGGGCAGCUCUGACCAUGUCUAAGGCCAUCCGGUUUUGCAGAACCAACUUCCUGAUCUGAUUGACUUCAUCAGUUAACAAAAAGGAGAGCAACUCGGGUGUAAUUCAGGGCCCAAACUGUGUGCUCUGCAAGGGCUGUAACUUGCAUUUCUACAGUAGCGACACCUGCUCUAGGGAUAGUUAUCGCUUAGGGGUAGAGUCACUAGGGGGCUUGCUGAACUCGUAAAAACCAGGAACAUAGCACCUUCCAGUUAGGUGGAUGACUAGGCAAUGUGGGAAACACAGUGGCAGGCACAGAAAGCCACCCCCAGGUACAACGUCCAGUCCAAUUGGCUGGUAGAUAUGGCCAUCCUGUGUCCCCACAGACCCAUAAACUCCCUGGGGGCAUAAAGUCCAUGAAGGUCCAGCCUUGGUAAGGCAACUUAUUCCACCACACCCUUGGUUUCGCGGCAUGUGUUAUGUUUGCACAAACCUCAGCAAUAAUCCCUCAGUGACUUUACCCCAGUGCUCCCCUAUACAUCAUGGUACCUGCAAUGGGGGCACCACAUGUUUUCCCGUUAGCCAGCCCCAUCCAUCAUGGACACUAUAAGUCAGCCAGUGGCAGGCUUGCCAUGGGUUUUGGGACGUCCCCCUAUCCAAAGCCCACCAUUGCAUUGUCUAUUGAACACCAAGUCUCUAGCCAUGUCCAGUUCUGCACAGAAGCUGGAUGCACGUUCCAGGGCAAGCUGCCUGCAGCUGCUGCUGAAAGGGUGGUGCAGAUACAACAGUUGAAGACAUUGGUCACCUCAGUGUAGGUGUGGGCCCAGAACAUGAUGCUGUUGGAGCAUGCCACCUAUGGCUGGAAUGACAAAGCAAGCACAGGUACUAACAGGGGUAAAUCAUGUCCCUCAGGCAAAAUACAGGCCAACUUUUCACCUCUCGAUAACAGUGCAGCCACCAAGGGCAUUUGCCCUGGGUGAUGAUACCACACCUUAUCAGCUCCCUGUGGUCCUUUUGGGUGCUGUACCCAUGCCAAACACACAGGGGAGCUUAUGCUAAGCCACACAGACAGUACACAUGCCCUCUGGAGGAGAGUCUCUUCCCUGGCCGUUCCCCUAUGCAUGGUUAAUUGUGGAGGCCACACAUUAAAUACCCAAGGAGUAACAUGUAAGUUAUACUGCAGCCCCUCCCCCCAGGGGGCUAUGAUAGCCAACCAUCUGCAAUGAGGUGCUUGGAGGGUCCAUGGCUAACACCAGGUUUUUCUGUUCCCCUGCCUUUAGGGGUACUGGGGCAGGCAAUAACAGAUUACUGUUCAACCCUGUACCUGGUUGGAGAAGGUUGUUCUUCCUCUCAUAGAUCUGGCCACAUGGCCUGGCCCUACAUGGGUCGAUGACUAACUAGCUAAUUCUGUAACUUCUAGGUAAUUAACCACAAAGUUAAGCCUUGAUAAAUUGCCUAGCUACUAGUACAGAUUACCACAGGUGUCAUCUCCUUGGUGAUCACAGUCCAUAUUGCCUUGAGUUCAACUUAUUAGCUACUUUAUUUACACCUGGUUUUAAACCAUAUUGUGUCAGUACUAGGCUGGACUGUAGCAGCAAUCCAGGCAGCAGCAGUACUCUGGCUAUACCUACCUGUAUACUAUGCCUCAUUAGGAAUGGGAGGAUGCCCUUCCUUAUGGUAAAGGCUCAGGGUCUAGAGGUGCCUCAGACCCCAUGACUUUAUCUUGCAUUAGGACUAUAGGCUUCAAGACCUAUUGUAAUUUUACUCCUAAGAGACCAGUACUCAGUGUACUCUGCUGCUCUAAGUAGGUGCCCCACUUCGCUAAAGUGGAUGUCUGUGCCUUCCCUAUCCAGGGGGUUGUUUCCCAUGAAUGCCCAAUCUCACAAUUACUAACUGCUUCUCUAUCAAGGAAUACUGGGGCUCAGCUCCCUUCCACAGCUGGGAACAAAAGCCUAUUGGCAUACUCAGGUGCUCUAUGCACUGCUAUAGGCCCUAACUGAAACUCUGUUGUCACAGGCACAUCUAGUUUAAAUGGGCACCUCUGGUCCACUACCCGUAUGGCUUGUGCCUGCUAAAUAGCCCGCUAGGCUACCAGAAAGACUGUCUCAGGAGCAUCAUCCCAAUCCCAGGCAAGAAGAACAUUGCCACUUCUAAAUCUGCAGGAGAAUCAGAGGUUAACAUGACAUCAUUAAUAAAAUAAUGACACGUGGUGGGGCUAUGAAUAUAGCCCUGCAGCAACACUGUGAAAGUCCAUUGUCACCCUCCCAUGAAAGCAAACUGUUCCUGCCUCUCUGGAACAAUGUCGACUGAGAGGAAUGCAUUGGUCAAUUCCACCACAUAGUGGCAUUGUCUCAGUUCUGUUGUCAAGAAGUUCAUCAAAUCCAUGAUAGAAGGUACAGAUACAUGCAGAAGGAGUAUUACUUUAUUCAGUUUCCGAUAAUCCACUGUUAUCUGCCAAAUCCCAUCAGGCUUUCUGACUGGCCAUAAUGGAAAAUGGUAGGGGCUAUGGAUGCCACACACUAUUUGCACCUCCUCUAACUUCUUAAUAGUCUCAGUUACCUCUGUAUUCCCCCCUGGCAAACGGUACUGAUGAGUGGAAGUAACCUGUCAGGGUUGUGGCAGAACUUGGGGCUGGUGAUGUGUAUGUUCACCCAGUACUGGCUUUACUGCAUGGACUCAGAAUCUGGAUUCUCUGGCCGUGGUGUGCAAGCCCAGACCAUGCAAAAUGUCCACCCCCAGAAUAUAUUCAGGUAUAGGAGAAACAUACACAGUGUACAGGUGGGGAGCCAAGCGGCCAAUGCCAAGAUGCAGAGACACAGGCUUCACCUUCACCGACUGGCUCCCAUAACCGUCCAUAAAUGCAGCUUUGCCUAGAAAUUUAUCUGGGUUCCCAUAAACUAGACUGCAGUCUGCACCAGUAUCUAUCAGUGCUAGGACCCGCGGUACAUUAGUGGGGGACCAGUGGAUUGCCAGCUCCACAUAUAGCCUCUGGUUGUCUAGUUCCCCCUGCCAAGCUGGCGACCUCGGCCAGUUCCCUAAUCAAACAAGAAAGGCUCUGUAUCUCUGCCUGUCUGCAAAUAGUCCUUGAGUUGCAGCGUCUGGGAGGGAUUAGGUUGAACAACAUUGUUUUGCCCCCCACACCUUAGGCAUUUUCUGGAAUUGCUGCUCCCGGGACAAUUGCCUUCACAGAGUCAACAACAUUCCAUUGGGUUGCCCGUCAAUUUUCUCCCGAGCAACCCCAGCUGCAAGUAAAUCAAUCCACAUCUGCAUGCAGGUCACCUCCUGGAGCCCCUUUUUAUCUGGUGGGGUGGUUAACUGCGGAUGAGGCAUUUUCUCCCUCCUUACGGUGCGGAUUCUCCGGUCCUGCGAAUGGCCUUCUGCCUCCCUGAGGGCUGCCAGAGCAGUAGUCACUUCAUGUAUGCGGCACCCCACAUACUGGGUGAGAACAGCGGCUAGAAAGCCAUAAGGGUUCGGGGUGCUGAACUCAGCACAAGAUCCCUCAUGUGGGAGGUAAAGCGUUCAUCAUCUGGCCCCAUGGUAAUCAGACCAAACAUAGCCUGCCGCAUACCUAUCUCCAAGAGUAUCUGCACCAAAUUAGUAUGUGAUUGCCAUUUACUCACAGUUUGUAGUAUCUCUCUGGCAUCAUUGAAAACAGUCCAUAUGACUGUCAUUAGCCACUUGAUUAAUGUGUGGCCACCUUGCUCUUGUGCCAACCGUUGGCACAGCUGCAGCUGCUGACGAAGGGAGGGGUGAGUUGUGAUAGAAGUCAGCUUCUCCAUCUCAGAGGCGGAACAAAAAAUGCUAUCAGCUCCCUCAGACGCUGCCGGCACUAUUUACCUAAUUCCCACAACUCACUGGGGUUAUAAGCAUAAUAAGAGGCGUGUUCCACCACUGUGGACGGGGUCCCUGGGCUUUCCCCUAGGGUCCCAUCAGCUGCUUAUGUUCUACCUUCUGACGGAUCACAGGAGGAGCCUGCAGCGGAGGAGCCUCCUCCUCCUCAGCAUCAGACCUAAAGGGAGUGUCCUGCCUGAAGGACCGGCUCAAGGUCGCACUAACAGCUCUUGCUAACUCCUGUUCCAGGCUGUUUAUCUGGGCCUCCAAGUACCCUGCUUGCGCCUGGAGGUCUCUCACCCCCAGGUCCUGCUCAAAGCUGUGCACUUGGGCCCCCAGGCAUGCGGCUUGCUCCGGAAGGUCCCUUACCUGUGGCACUGAGCAUGUACUUCCUGCAGUGCAGUUAGAAAUGCCCAUCCGACUCUGCUUGCAAAGGCACAGCUGCUUAAAGACUGUUACCGGAAAGGAAUCCUGAUCCAGACGCCAAGAGAGGGUUCUUGGACUCAUGCAAGAAAGACUUCAGAAUACGAGUUUUGAAUUUUUGAAUUGCUGUUAAAACUUUCAUCAUGAACACUGAAGUGAGUGAAAAGAGACUUUUGCAGUCAUUUUUUUGCUGGCUGCAGAUGACAGUGACACCCUGGGAGUUGAGAAAUGCUUGUAAGAUGGAAGGAGGCUGUGUCCCUGAAUGAUCACCUGGAAGAGAGCCACCUUAGCCAAUGAAACUCCUGCUAUGAAUGUUUGCUGAGCAAGAAAUAUACUUACUGCUUUAUAUGCCUUUGAAGCUAUAGGUUCAUAUUGUUACCACAAUUUAAAGUGCUAUAAUAAAAAGAGUUCAGGAAGCAGGCACAUGGAAGCAAUAAGAGCAACAAACAUUUACACAGUUCUCAGGUCCCUGGACCAUGAAGGGCCACAUCCAAGGAGCUACCCCAGGAGGCCUCUCAUUUGCAUUUGUCCCCGCUAAUGCAGGACAGAGAUCAUGGAAGUUGGGCCCGACUGGAUGAGAUUUGGGGGUCUUUGGAAGUGGAGAAUGUGUUUGCCCUGGGGAAGAGAGGUGAUGUCUAGGAGACCUCUUCACUCAGGGCAAGCUCUAUGACCUGCUUUGACUCCAGAAUGUGGUAGAAGUGGCAUCACAUAAAUUGCAGAGCCUAGGCUUCAAGAGACCUUGCAACUUGCCUCUCACUGACUUGAAGUGCUCCCAUCAGAGCAUCUUGUAAGGAGCAGGUGGAGCAUGUGGACAAGCCAUCCCCACCAGCCCCUGAGACAUGUGAGAGAGGCCAGAACAGGCCAUCCGGACCCCACUGUGCUGGUGGAUGAGACAGCAGAAGGAAUAUCAACCUACCAACAGAAUCCUGAGAAAUGCUCACUCUUACUUCAAGCUGCUGCAUUUUGAUGUUAUGAAACCAUAAAUAACUUAUGAAGUCAUCUUUGCUGACUUAAAGUUUUCCAUAACUUUAUUAUAACAUAUCAAAAUUAUGAAAAAUGUGAAAAGUAGAAAACUGAUGAAUUUUGCUUCUUCAUAUGGUCUUUAAGAAUCUCAAAGGCACUGAAGUUUUUUAUCUUUUCUGUCUUAGAAUAAAAAACCUUGAAUGAAAAUCUGCUUCUUGGAAAAGCAGCAAGGUUUAUGCAGAGGCAAUCUGGUAUUUGUGUGCACUGGCAGCUGAUCAUACCCAGCAUGCACGCACUCUCAGGGCAGAGUCUGAUGCCCCACAUAAUGGGGCAUGGUAAGGACUCCCAUGUCCUUGAGAUAAAAUGAUAAGGAAAAUACACACUGCUAUUAGAAUAACAGGCCCAGCUUCUGCACAUUUUAAUUCCCAAAGUUUUCAUGAAAGACAAUGAUUUUUUGGUACCAUGUUUAACUCUACAAGAAUCAGUAGUGAAAACUAAAAAUGAUACUUUGUGAAAGUUCAUUAAUUUUGUUUUCAGCCAGUGGUGGCCUUGGUCAGAUAGAAUCAAAUCUAUGAUACUUUUUAUCAGAAAUGCUUAUACUGUGUACAAACCCAAAGUGAUGGCUUUCAAAGAUUGAAUUUGAUUAUUUUCUGUAUGGUGCAGAUGAAAAAUUACUACACAGGAGAAGGUGGGUUGGAGGUGCUCACGAGUAACCAGGAAACAGUCUGAAGUUUUUCUGAUACUUCUCCUUGGUCCAACCAAAUGUGAGAUAUAAACACAAACUUGGGAUUCCGUUCUUAUGUUUUGGUUGUUUCAGUCUUUACAGAUGUAUCGAAAGGCUGUCCAAAAAUGUCUGACUUCUGUAGUGUGCCUUCGUAGCACUAGAGGGUUCUGCAGCUGUGAAACUGAAGGCAUUGGCAAGAAGCCCUCCAUCUUCAAACCACUUUCUGCUAAGGUGUGGCUCUAUAAAACCACUAUGAGCUGGGCUUCACUGAGACUGAGUUGUUUCAGUAGGAUCUUCCGGAAAAACAUGUUCCCUCCUUUACCUGGGUUGUCAUUCUGAGAACAAUCACACCUCCAAUUUUGGCUUACUAAGCAAUAGCGUUUUAAUGAUUUUAAGCCAGGAUUUGCUCCUCCUUUCCUCAGUAUGAGAGCUUAACCACUGGAGGAACCAAGAAUUCAUGCUGGUUGGGUUCUGAUUCCACUUUAACUUACUGUAUAGCCUCAUCCCUUGUUUUUCUGGAGAUUCUCUUUUUCUGCUUCACUGAUUUAUAUUUACAUUAAAAUCAAAUGAGGCCAUGUUUCUGAAAUCACAUUGUCCCUACAUGGUCAUUACAAUGAGUCUGUAAUGUGACUGAAAGACAGCCAUGGAUACAGGUAGAGGAUAUCAGGCAAUUGAAUGCUCAUCAAGCAUUCAAUUCAGGGCAAAUGGCAUAAGGUAUGCAGUUGGCCUCUUCUGAUAUCUGUGUCUUAAUCCUUUCUUUAGCCUCUGUUUUCUGGACCAAGGCUAAGAUAUUUUCUGGGCACAGUGGCUCAUGCCUAUAAUCCCAGCACUCUGGGAGGCCAAGGUGGGAGGAUUUCUUCAGCCC
RNAcentral lists this long non-coding RNA (6914 nucleotides) under Homo sapiens (human). RNAcentral's name for it is "HSALNT0346785". Lineage: Eukaryota; Metazoa; Chordata; Mammalia; Primates; Hominidae. The record is from RNAcentral.